AUCCAGCUGAUGAGUCCCAAACAGGUCGAAACGCGCGCCCUGGAU
Schistosoma mattheei is the source of this 45-nucleotide non-coding RNA. NCBI's taxonomy places the organism in Eukaryota, Metazoa, Platyhelminthes, Trematoda, Strigeidida, Schistosomatidae. The record is from Rfam.